RNAcentral lists this long non-coding RNA (280 nucleotides) under Lathyrus oleraceus (garden pea). RNAcentral describes it as "Pisum sativum (pea) long non-coding RNA (PSAT_LNC030221)". Lineage: Eukaryota; Viridiplantae; Streptophyta; Magnoliopsida; Fabales; Fabaceae. The record is from RNAcentral.
AAAUAAUUCUGCUUCAGACCUUAUUGCACGGGCCGUGCCAACCUGCACGGCCGGCCGUGCAAACUCCCUGUUUUUUGUAUGGGAGGGGAGCAUCCAUCCUGCACGGGCCGUGUGCUGCUGCACAGGCCGUGCGGGUCUUCAUGCUUUUGUAUUUUCCAGUCCUUUUUUAUGUCUUCUCUCCUUUGGCACGUCCGUUGCCUCUUUGCUCAAGCUGCACAUACACAAGACUACCGAAAACAAGCAUCACGCAUAGAGAACUCAAAUUAAAAAGAUAAUAACA